UUAGGAUCUGCAGCCAGCAUACCAGUAAACUCUAUCAGCUGGGGAUGAUGGAAUUUAUAGUUCAAUAUAUCUCUGGGGAGAUGGUAAGAUUAGGAAUGACUGGUUUAGAAUAUUCCCCCUUAAUGUAUCAUGUAAUUCAGCAAUCUGUGCCACAAGUUUAAUUUAUUAGGUCCACAGAUUACACCAAAUUAUAUUUGAAUUUUACCGUCUCUGUCUCUCUUUCUAACAUAGCCAGAUUGUAAGCAAGCAUCCAACACACCUGAAUCAUGCCUUUCCCAAAACCUGUGGGACACUGGGAGGAUCAUCAGAUCACUGUCUAAACUGCACAGAUAAUUUUUAAUAUUCUCUCCCUCUGGCAUGUCAUGCUUAGGAGAUAUCUCUAUCUGAGGCAUUUUUAGAGCCUCAGAUAUGUUGACUGGGGGCUGAACAGGUUUUCCUGCAUCUAUGCCAUGGUCUGGAUCAGGGGUCCUCAAACUUUUAAAGCAGAGGGCCAGUCCACAAUCCUUCAGACUGUUGAGGGGCCAAAUUAUCAUUUGGGGGAAAAAACCGAACAAAUUCCUAUGCACACUGCACAUAUCUUAUUUGUAGUGCAAAACAACAAUAACAAUGAAAGAACAAUGCAAUAUUUAAAAAUGAAAAUAAUUUUAACCACCAUAAACCUAUCAGGAUUUCAAUAGGAAGUGUGGGCCUGCUUCUGGCCAAUGAGAUAGUCAGGUUAAUUAGGGUUGUUGUUGUUGUUGUUGUUGUUGUUGUUGUGUGUCUUCAAGUCAUUUCUGACUUCGGGCGAGCCUAAGUCCAAAAUUAUUUAUUUAUUCAUUUACUACAUUUAUAUCCCACCCUUCUCACCCCAAAGGGAACUCAGAGCAGCUGUAUGUACAUACAAUAUAUUAUAUUAUUAGCAUAGCACAAUAUUAGCAUUAUACUAUAUUGAACUAUACCACUAUACUGUAAUAUUAUAUGUAAUAUAUAACAUAUAAUUAAUAUUAUUAUAUGGUAUUAUUGUUAGCAUUAUAUUGUAUAAAAUGAUAAUAUUCUUAUCAAUAUUAUAUGUAUAUACAAUAUAUUAUAUUAUUAAAACUGAUAUAAAAAUAUUAUAUUAUAAAUGAGGGUGGGGGCCAGGUAAAUUACCUUGGAGGGCCGCAUCUGGCCCCCGGGCCUUAGUUUGGGGACCCCUGGUCUGGAUGGUGGGAGCAAAUGAAAAAGGCAAGAAAUACCUUGCCUGCUGAAAAUCAAAUGUUUCAAAAUGAAGUUCUUGCUGAACAUUAAGAGGAAUCAUUUUCUAUGACAACGAGAGCCAUGGUAAAAUCUGCCUGUGCUACCCCCUUGAAAGACAAAUUAUAGACAGAGAAAUACAGGUCCUUUUUCUACAACUCUGCAGGAACAAACAGUUCUGUCCUGUUCACUCACUUCUUCUGCACAGAUGCGUAAUGCCUUAUCACACCUAAAGCAGACUUUGUGAGCUGGACUGAUAGACAGAGCACAGCUAUCUCUCUGCACAUACUACUUCACAUCGCAUACUGUCACAUCACGAGUCACUCUGUGCUUGAUGUAAUCGAAACCACCAAGAAGUGAUUGUCCCUUCAAAAUAUAGAGCUGAAACAAGAGCACCAGUGCCAUUUCAGACCCUUUUUUCCAUGCCUAAGUACUAGAAUGGCCCACGUUGUUUAUACAAACAAUUGGUUUCCAUGUAUCUACUCCAAAAUAGGACUGAGAAGGGAAUAUUGAGAGCCUUGGUCAAAGAUUGCUCCCAGGUAGGGCUCCACAAACUCCUAUUCCACUGUUUCUUCCCUGCAAAUCAUUUGGGAAAGCAAACUAUAUUUCUAACUAUACUUCUUUUAUAUUUAUAAAAAACCAAGGCUAAAUUUAUGAGACCAAAGACUAAACAACAGGAUUUCUUAGUCCUUGGAGUUUAUUUCAGACCUCUAGCCAGUCAAGCAGAAUUGCGGAACUCUUUGCCAAAGGCACACUGUAACUUACUAUCUAACAAAGUGAGCUUUAAGUCACUUAAAACUACAAUAACAUAGUUAAUUGGCACAAAACGGUGUUAUUCUAUAUGCUGGCUGGGAUAUUCUGGGAGAUGUAGUUCAUACAGACAAACACACACAUAUUAAAUGUUAACUGGAGCUUGUUACAGGGUACACAUUGUUCCCUUGUUGUAACAGGUUCACUGUCUGCCAGCGCAUUUCUGGGCAUAAUUCAACAUGCUUGUUAUGACUUACAAAGACCUGCGCAGGCUAUCUGACUGACUUUAUUAUCCUAUAAAGAACUGCCUGAGCACUGAGAUGUAGUUCUUUCAGUCCUACCACGCUCACAGGUGUUAACAGAUGUACUCAUUUCCCAGGGAGCCUUGAAUGAACCCCUCUUUGCUGUCCUUCUCUCAUCAGGCAUGGAGGUUGUGUUAUUCAAUAGGCUUUUAGAAUUGAAGGUUUUGCAAGGGAAGAGUGCUAAAUUGUUUUAAACUGUGCUGUUUUAAAACUGGCUUUAAUCUUUUUAUACAUUAAAUUUGCUUUAAUACUGUUAAUAGUUUAAUACUAUUUUAUGUCAAAUUGUUGUUUAAUUUUAACUUUCUUACAAACAUUUUGAUUUUUAAGCUCCCCUAGAUUUGAAGGAAAGACCAGAUGUAACAACAACAACAACAACAACAACAACAACAACAACAACAACAAAGCAGAGACCGCUUUGAGUCCUAGCCCGAGAGAAAAACAGGAUAUAAAUAAAAGGAUGGAUGGAUGGAGUAAGACUUUCAUGUGUUUUUAAGUGCAUUUUUUUUCCUGGAUGGACAUGUACACUUGGGAAUAUUGAAGAGAGGAAAACCCCUUCAGGGAAAGCAUUGUAUGAAAUGCUGCCUUUCGUUUCUUCCUACCAAAUCCUUUUCUUCUCAAGGAACGUCCUCCUAAAGACCUGAGGUCCACAGCAAUUACAGAACACAGGACCCAAGACAACUAAGGAGACUUCAUUUUGCAAUCAGAUAGAAAGAGGCAACCAGCAUUCUCCCUUUACUCUUCUGUUCUCCCUCUGCUCACCUACCCUACUAAUGCCAGCUGUCUGUCAUGAGAUAAGCAGAGCUCAGUAAAUGAUGAGUAAGAAAACAAGUUAUUGCAACUGGGCUCUGAAUAUAGACUGGUAUCUUGUUACAGAGAGUACAAAGGACUCCUUGGGAGAAAGAGGAGGGGAAGCAUCAGUACCACUCCUAGUGGUACAGGGGAGACCUGCCAAGAAAGCAAAGCUAUUGAAAUACAGGCAGUAAGUUAAAACUCAGGCACUAGGGUAGCAUUCAUUUUUUCUUAUUACUUUAAUGUUCUUUGAACACUGACAUUUGUAUCAUGUUGGCUUAUGCAUUAUUCAGAUUUUAUUCUGUCUCCGGGGUUGUGGCUAGGCUGGCUUACUCUCUGUUGUCCUACUAUCCUUUCAUCCAGGCAGGCAUUUAACAACUGACUGCUAUUAAGAAAAAGACUUUUAAUUAGUGAACUCUAUAAUUUUUUAGACACUAAUACAUUUUUAAAUUACUUUGCAAUUGAAGACUGUUUCCAUUUUACAAUUUGUUUAACUCUAAAUAUAAUUUAUAGUCAUAUCGGGAAUUUUGUUCAAAGCAGCCUUAAACUCCAGCACUUGGACAGAGAAAGGAUAUAAAGUAAAUAAACAAGUCAAUACAUUCCA
This is a long non-coding RNA of Anolis carolinensis (green anole), 3657 nucleotides long. RefSeq lists it as uncharacterized. The transcript has 2 exons. NCBI's taxonomy places the organism in Eukaryota, Metazoa, Chordata, Lepidosauria, Squamata, Anolidae. The record is from RefSeq and is a predicted model, not a curated record.